RNAcentral lists this ribosomal RNA (497 nucleotides) under uncultured bacterium. RNAcentral's name for it is "partial 16S ribosomal RNA". It matches the Rfam family "Bacterial small subunit ribosomal RNA", at positions 28 to 507 of the family's 1533-position model. The record is from RNAcentral.
GAUGAACGCUGGCGGCGUGCCUAAUACAUGCAAGUCGAGCGAACAGACGAGGAGCUUGCUCCUCUGACGUUAGCGGCGGACGGGUGAUUACCACGUGGAUAACCUACCUAUAAGACUGGGAUAACUUCGGGAAACCGGAGCUAAUACCGGAUAAUAUAUUGAACCGCAUGGUUCAAUAUUGAAAGACGGUUUUGCUUUCACUUAUAGAUUGAUCCGCGCCGCAUUAGCUAGUUGGUAAGGUAACGGCUUACCAAGGCAACGAUGCGUAGCCGACCUGAGAGGGUGAUCGGCCACACUGGAACUGAGACACGGUCCAGACUCCUACGGGAGGCAGCAGUAGGGAAUCUUCCGCAAUGGGCGAAAGCCUGACGGAGCAACGCCGCGUGAGUGAUGAAGGUUUUCGGAUCGUAAAACUCUGUUAUUAGGGAAGAACAAAUGUGUAAGUAACUAUGCACGUCUUGACGGUACCUAAUCAGAAAGCCACGGCUAACUACGUG